Molecule: ribosomal RNA, 373 nt
Filed under: uncultured organism
Description: partial 16S ribosomal RNA
Rfam family: Bacterial small subunit ribosomal RNA
Source: RNAcentral
CGGGGGGGCAAGCGUUGUUCGGAAUUACUGGGCGUAAAGGGCGCGCAGGCGGGCGAGACAGUCUUUCGUGAAAUCCCACGGCUCAACCGUGGAACUGCGGGAGAUACUUCUCGUCUUGAGUUCGGGAGAGGAGUGUGGAAUUCCCAGUGUAGCGGUGAAAUGCGUAGAUAUUGGGAGGAACACCGGUGGCGAAGGCGGCACUCUGGACCGAUACUGACGCUGAGGCGCGAAAGCUAGGGGAGCAAACGGGAUUAGAUACCCCCGGGUAGUCCUAGCUGUAAACGCUGAGCACUUGGUGUAGCGGGUAUCGACCCCCUGCUGUGCCGAAGCCAACGCAUUAAGUGCUCCGCCUGGGGAUACGGUCGCAAGGCUG